GACGAACGCUGGCGGCGUGCUUAACACAUGCAAGUCGAACGAUGAAGCCUAGCUUGCUAGGUGGAUUAGUGGCGAACGGGCGAGUAAUACGUGAGUAACCUACCUUUAACUCUGGGAUAAGCCUGGGAAACUGGGUCUAAUACCGGAUACGACCAAUCUCCGCAUGGGGUGUUGGUGGAAAGCGUUAUGUAGUGGUUAUAGAUGGGCUCACGGCCUAUCAGCUUGUUGGUGAGGUAACGGCUCACCAAGGCGACGACGGGUAGCCGGCCUGAGAGGGUGACCGGCCACACUGGGACUGAGACACGGCCAGACUCCUACGGGAGGCAGCAGUGGGGAAUAUUGCACAAUGGGCGCAAGCCUGAUGCAGCGACGCCGCGUGAGGGAUGACGGCCUUCGGGUUGUAAACCUCUGUUAGCAGGGAAGAAGAGAGAUUGACGGUACCUGCAGAGAAAGCGCCGGCUAACUACGUGCCAGCAGCCGCGGUAAUACGUAGGGCGCGAGCGUUGUCCGGAAUUAUUGGGCGUAAAGAGCUUGUAGGCGGUUUGUCGCGUCUGCUGUGAAAGGCCGGGGCUUAACUCCGUGUAUUGCAGUGGGUACGGGCAGACUAGAGUGCAGUAGGGGAGACUGGAAUUCCUGGUGUAGCGGUGGAAUGCGCAGAUAUCAGGAGGAACACCGAUGGCGAAGGCAGGUCUCUGGGCUGUAACUGACGCUGAGAAGCGAAAGCAUGGGGAGCGAACAGGAUUAGAUACCCUGGUAGUCCAUGCCGUAAACGUUGGGCACUAGGUGUGGGGGACAUUCCACGUUUUCCGCGCCGUAGCUAACGCAUUAAGUGCCCCGCCUGGGGAGUACGGCCGCAAGGCUAAAACUCAAAGAAAUUGACGGGGGCCCGCACAAGCGGCGGAGCAUGCGGAUUAAUUCGAUGCAACGCGAAGAACCUUACCAAGGCUUGACAUAUACUGGACCGCAUCAGAGAUGGUGUUUCCCUUCGGGGCUGGUAUACAGGUGGUGCAUGGUUGUCGUCAGCUCGUGUCGUGAGAUGUUGGGUUAAGUCCCGCAACGAGCGCAACCCUCGUUCUAUGUUGCCAGCACGUUAUGGUGGGGACUCAUAGGAGACUGCCGGGGUCAACUCGGAGGAAGGUGGGGAUGACGUCAAAUCAUCAUGCCCCUUAUGUCUUGGGCUUCACGCAUGCUACAAUGGCCGGUACAGAGGGUUGCGAUACUGUGAGGUGGAGCUAAUCCCUAAAAGCCGGUCUCAGUUCGGAUUGGGGUCUGCAACUCGACCCCAUGAAGUCGGAGUCGCUAGUAAUCGCAGAUCAGCAACGCUGCGGUGAAUACGUUCCCGGGCCU
RNAcentral lists this ribosomal RNA (1347 nucleotides) under uncultured bacterium. RNAcentral's name for it is "bacterial SSU rRNA". It matches the Rfam family "Bacterial small subunit ribosomal RNA", at positions 28 to 1381 of the family's 1533-position model. The record is from RNAcentral.